CUGUUGUCUGAAAGGAGAAGGUUAGCACUCACCCUUGACAAGGAUGGAAGAGACCCUUGGUCCUUACGACAUGCAUACUAUUAAGGCACUGUCACCUACUUUGUGGCAUCUAACCACCUGUUUUU
Molecule: small nuclear RNA, 125 nt
Organism: Jaculus jaculus (lesser Egyptian jerboa)
Lineage: Eukaryota; Metazoa; Chordata; Mammalia; Rodentia; Dipodidae
Source: Ensembl